RNAcentral lists this ribosomal RNA (253 nucleotides) under uncultured bacterium. RNAcentral describes it as "partial 16S ribosomal RNA". It matches the Rfam family "Bacterial small subunit ribosomal RNA", at positions 524 to 776 of the family's 1533-position model. The record is from RNAcentral.
UACGAAGGGUGCAAGUGUUACUCGGAAUUACUGGGCGUAAAGCGUGCGUAGGCGGUUUGUUAAGUCCGUUGUGAAAGCCCUGGGCUCAACCUGGGAAUUGCAGUGGAUACUGGCGAGCUAGAGUGCGGUAGAGGAUGGUGGAAUUCCCGGUGUAGCGGUGAAAUGCGUAGAGAUCGGGAGGAACACCCGUGGCGAAGGCGGCCAUCUGGACCAGCACUGACGCUGAGGCACGAAAGCGUGGGGAGCAAACAGG